AGGAGCGUCGGUUAACGGUAAACCAACGGUCUCCAAAACCGUGACUGGGGGUUCGAUUCCUCCCGCUCCUGCCA
This 74-nucleotide transfer RNA is filed under the name Omnitrophica bacterium RIFCSPHIGHO2_02_FULL_46_20. RNAcentral describes it as "tRNA-Trp". It matches the Rfam family "tRNA". Rfam says of the family: Transfer RNA (tRNA) molecules are approximately 80 nucleotides in length. Their secondary structure includes four short double-helical elements and three loops (D, anti-codon, and T loops). RNAcentral also lists the same sequence under 4 other names. The record is from RNAcentral. Lineage: Bacteria; Pseudomonadati; Candidatus Omnitrophota.